RNAcentral lists this long non-coding RNA (876 nucleotides) under Ananas comosus (pineapple). RNAcentral's name for it is "long non-coding RNA (ACOM_LNC041935)". The record is from RNAcentral. Lineage: Eukaryota; Viridiplantae; Streptophyta; Magnoliopsida; Poales; Bromeliaceae.
UCUCGUGUGUACCUGUACACCAAAACCACACGGGGUGAGAACUAUAUAAAUAUAGUUUCCAGUGGGUUCGGCCGCCGACUCCGCCGAUCUUCUCACUAGGUCCAAGCUGGCACAGAUAGAUAGAUAGAAAGACAGAUAGAAAUAAUUGCUACUAUAUCUACUAUGCCAUCAAAUGCAAAGGAUGCAUGGAAUGUCAUCUAGCAAUAACCUACUAUCAUGCUAGUAUAUUUCAACAGUGUAAUGAAUACAACUACAACAUAGUUAUGCAGUCUACUAUGUCAAAUCAUGGCAUGAAUGCAAUCCACUUAUGCAAUUCCUGUUACCACCCAAUCAAUUAGGCUAACUUGCCUAAGGUCUCAAAUCUUAAGGUCCUAGGCAAAGAACUACCCCGCUCCUUGCCCGACUCGUAUCUCAUAGGUCCGACCCAAUCUCGAAAGUCCUAGGCAAAGAGCUACCCCGCUCCUCGCCCGACUCAAUCUCAAAGGUCCUAGGCAAAGAGCUACCCCGCUCCUUGCCCGACUCAAUCUCGCUCUACUAGGUACAAGCUGUCCCUCUCAAAUCUCAUAGGUGAAGGAAUAGUAUGUCCACUCACUAUAUGUAGGCAAAUCCACUAGUCCAACUACCAAGUGACUAUGCUCAAUGUCGAUGCAACUCAUGGUGGAAGCUGGCUAUCAUACUACUAUGUUGAACAACGAUGUCAUUCAUCUGAUCACCCAAUCUCUCAGCGAACACAAGGCUCGCACACUGUCUCACGUGUAUCAAUCUCCUAGGGAGGUGGCUAGCUCUUCACCUACCCCGAGACCGCCUGCGGACACUACACUGGUCCAAGGGCAACUACACUGACCCCCUCGCGUGCCAAACUCCGGAGUGCACUAC